This 506-nucleotide ribosomal RNA is filed under the name uncultured soil bacterium. RNAcentral's name for it is "bacterial SSU rRNA". It matches the Rfam family "Bacterial small subunit ribosomal RNA", at positions 26 to 533 of the family's 1533-position model. The record is from RNAcentral.
AGAUUGAACGCUGGCGGCAGGCCUAACACAUGCAAGUCGAGCGGCAGCACGGGUACUUGUACCUGGUGGCGAGCGGCGGACGGGUGAGUAAUGCCUAGGAAUCUGCCUGAUAGUGGGGGAUAACGCUCGGAAACGGACGCUAAUACCGCAUACGUCCUACGGGAGAAAGCAGGGGACCUUCGGGCCUUGCGCUAUCAGAUGAGCCUAGGUCGGAUUAGCUAGUUGGUGGGGUAAUGGCUCACCAAGGCGACGAUCCGUAACUGGUCUGAGAGGAUGAUCAGUCACACUGGAACUGAGACACGGUCCAGACUCCUACGGGAGGCAGCAGUGGGGAAUAUUGGACAAUGGGCGAAAGCCUGAUCCAGCCAUGCCGCGUGUGUGAAAGAAAGGUCUUCGGAUUGUAAAAGCAACUUUAAAGUUGGUAGGAAAGGGCGAGUUAACCUAAUAACGUAAUCUGUUUUGACGUUACCGUACCAGAAAUAAAGACAACCGGCGUAAACUCUGUG